Molecule: non-coding RNA, 134 nt
Filed under: Platyophrya macrostoma
Lineage: Eukaryota; Ciliophora; Colpodea; Cyrtolophosidida; Platyophryidae
Source: RNAcentral
CAUACUUCUGUUUAUUGUUGUGAUACUUUAUAUUGUGUUUUCAUAAGAGUCUCUUUUCUUCAGAUGUGUCUUCUUUUCCAAAAAAAAAGGCGUGAAGGAACAAGAUAAAGCGUCUACAAGAAAAGAGAAGAAGA